UACGUAGGGCGCAAGCGUUGUCCGGAAUUAUUGGGCGUAAAGAGCUCGUAGGCGGCUUGUCACGUCGGUUGUGAAAGCCCGGGGCUUAACCCCGGGUCUGCAGUCGAUACGGGCAGGCUAGAGCGUGGUAGGGGAGAUCGGAAUUCCUGGUGUAGCGGUGAAAUGCGCAGAUAUCAGGAGGAACACCGGUGGCGAAGGCGGAUCUCUGGGCCAUUACUGACGCUGAGGAGCGAAAGCGUGGGGAGCGAACAGG
This 253-nucleotide ribosomal RNA is filed under the name uncultured bacterium. Its description in RNAcentral is "partial 16S ribosomal RNA". It matches the Rfam family "Bacterial small subunit ribosomal RNA", at positions 524 to 776 of the family's 1533-position model. The record is from RNAcentral.